GAUGAAGAACGUAGCGAAAUGCGAUACUUGGUGUGAAUUGCAGAAUCCCGUGAACCAUCGAGUCUUUGAACGCAAGUUGCGCCCGAAGCCAUUAGGCCGAGGGCACGCCUGCCUGGGCGUCACACGUCGUUGCCCCCCCAUCUACUCCUUCGGGAUUGCGGGGGGCGGAUGAUGGCCUCCCGUGCGCCUCGUCGCGCGGUUGGCAUAAAUGCCAAGUCCUCGGCGACGCACGCCACGACAAUCGGUGGUUGCGAAACCUCGGUUGCCCGUCGUGUGCGGUCGUCGCGCAUCGAGGGCUCGAAAAAAUUGCCGGACUCCGGCUCGACUUUCAACGCGACCCCAGGUCAGGCGGGGUUACCCGCUGAAUUUAAGCAUAUCAAUAAGCGGAGGA
This 391-nucleotide unclassified non-coding RNA is filed under the name soil metagenome. RNAcentral's name for it is "partial contains 5.8S ribosomal RNA, internal transcribed spacer 2, and large subunit ribosomal RNA". The stretch from base 1 to 122 matches the Rfam family "5.8S ribosomal RNA", at positions 35 to 154 of the family's 154-position model. The record is from RNAcentral.